GAAUUGUUGAGAGAUUAGAUAUUACAAAGAGGUGCAUAGUCUUAUGUCUUCAACAAAACGACUUCAUGCUGAAAAAGAUGAUAAUAGUUUUAAGUGUUGAAUGUCAAUCACAUAUUAACCACAAGCUACACAAAUUGCCUUGAAGUACUGGCACCUUCCUAUGAGUUUCUUUACUGACUUUAUUCAGUGUACUUUACUUAAGUAAGUUAUGCCCUGCUAGGAUAGCCACUGUUGUGCACAAAAGGGGUCUUCAGUUCUGGACUGACUAAUGCUUGUUUUCUAGGAUCGUUUCUUCCUAGAACUUUUAUUGGUCUCUACUAGCAGCUGCAGUAAGAGAGGAGUUACCAGACAUCUCAAUGUUUUCAUCCUGAUCUGUCUCCAGAGGAGAUGCCUUCAAGACGCCUGCAUAUGCUGGUGCCUCCAUUAUUUAUUUAAUUUGGCUUGGCUUUUUUAUCUGCAGUUAUACACUUCUUACUGCAACUAAGUAAAUGAACUUAUCAUGGGCAUGAAAUUAUCAUCUCAUCCCAUCAGAAGAUAGGUAUUUUCAAAGAACUCACAUUGAUUCAAAAUCAAUUCCAAAUGGGAGAAAAAUGAAGAUUUAAGGUAAUGUUAAUAUUUAUUUUCUGUAUACAGUACUCAAGCAUGAUAGAAAAGAAAAAUAGAAAGUUUUCUCCCUUUUUAUAAGUAGUGUCAAUGCUUUUAUUAAGGUUUUUUGCUUUCUAGAGAUAAACUCAG
Molecule: long non-coding RNA, 735 nt
Filed under: Numida meleagris (helmeted guineafowl)
Lineage: Eukaryota; Metazoa; Chordata; Aves; Galliformes; Numididae
Description: lncRNA (ENSNMEG00000020420.1)
Source: RNAcentral